AAACCGUUCAGGGGUAAACCUGAGAAACCCGAGAGAUCGAUCGGGGAGAUUCACCGUCAGCGAGGCUGGCUUCGCGGUGGUUCGCGAUGUGCGGCGCCACGGCGUCGCGGCACGCACCCGCCGCGUUAGCGCCCAGUCGCGUCGGCGUGCACUUCUCCCCUAGUAGGACGUCGCGACCCGUCGAGUGUCGGCCUACGGCACGGGAGAGAGCCUGUCACGUUGCGCCUCGGCGCACGGGGCAGAACCCCGUUGUCCCGACCGGCUGCUCGGCGGUACACGCACGGUAUAGGGCCGCAGACUCAGCGAGACUGCGUCCAGGCCCGUCGCAAGCGACGGCCAGUGUAUACCCGGAGUGCCACGGACCCAG
Molecule: ribosomal RNA, 367 nt
Filed under: Gasteruption sp. P4911
Lineage: Eukaryota; Metazoa; Arthropoda; Insecta; Hymenoptera; Gasteruptiidae
Description: partial large subunit ribosomal RNA
Source: RNAcentral